AUUGAACGCUGGCGGCAGGCCUAACACAUGCAAGUCGAAUGGUAACAGGAAACAGCUUGCUGUUUCGCUGACGAGUGGCGGACGGGUGAGUAAUGUCUGGGAAACUGCCUGAUGGAGGGGGAUAACUACUGGAAACGGUAGCUAAUACCGCAUAACGUCGCAAGACCAAAGAGGGGGACCUUCGGGCCUCUUGCCAUCAGAUGUGCCCAGAUGGGAUUAGCUAGUAGGUGGGGUAACGUCUCACCUAGGCGACGAUCCCUAGCUGGUCUGAGAGGAUGACAGGCCACACGGGAACGGGGACACGGUCCAGACUCCUACGGGAGGCAGCAGUGGGGAAUAUGGCACAAUGGGCGCAAGCCUGAUGCAGCCAUGCCGCGUGUAUGAAGAAGGCCUUCGGGUUGUAAAGUACUUUCAGCGGGGAGGAAGGGAGUAAAGUUAAUACCUUGCCUCAUUGACGUUACCCGCAGAAGAAGCACCGGCUAACUCCGUG
This 490-nucleotide ribosomal RNA is filed under the name uncultured bacterium. RNAcentral's name for it is "partial 16S ribosomal RNA". It matches the Rfam family "Bacterial small subunit ribosomal RNA", at positions 30 to 507 of the family's 1533-position model. The record is from RNAcentral.